This 253-nucleotide ribosomal RNA is filed under the name uncultured bacterium. Its description in RNAcentral is "partial 16S ribosomal RNA". It matches the Rfam family "Bacterial small subunit ribosomal RNA", at positions 524 to 776 of the family's 1533-position model. The record is from RNAcentral.
UACAGAGGUCUCAAGCGUUGUUCGGAUUCAUUGGGCGUAAAGGGUGCGUAGGCGGCGCGGUAAGUCGGGUGUGAAAUUUCGAGGCUUAACUUCGAAACUGCAUUCGAUACUGCCGUGCUUGAGGACUGGAGAGGAGACUGGAAUUUACGGUGUAGCGGUGAAAUGCGUAGAUAUCGUAAGGAGGACCAGUGGCGAAGGCGGGUCUCUGGACAGUUCCUGACGCUGAGGCACGAAGGCCAGGGGAGCAAACGGG